AUUGAACGCUGGCGGCAGGCCUAACACAUGCAAGUCGAACGGUAACAGGAAGAAGCUUGCUUCUUUGCUGACGAGUGGCGGACGGGUGAGUAAUGUCUGGGAAACUGCCUGAUGUAGGGGGAUAACUACUGGAAACGGUAGCUAAUACCUCAUAACGUCGCAAGACCAAAGAGGGGGACCUUCGGGCCUCUUGCCAUCGGAUGUGCCCAGAUGGGAUUAGCUAGUAGGUGGGGUAACGGCUCACCUAGGCGACGAUCCCUAGCUGGUCUGAGAGGAUGACCAGCCACACUGGAACUGAGACACGGUCCAGACUCCUACGGGAGGCAGCAGUGGGGAAUAUUGCACAAUGGGCGCAAGCCUGAUGCAGCCAUGCCGCGUGUAUGAAGAAGGCCUUCGGGUUGUAAAGUACUUUCAGCGGGGAGGAAGGGAGUAAAGUUAAUACCUUUACUCAUUGACGUUACCCGCAGAAGAAGCACCGGCUAACUCCGUG
This 490-nucleotide ribosomal RNA is filed under the name uncultured bacterium. Its description in RNAcentral is "partial 16S ribosomal RNA". It matches the Rfam family "Bacterial small subunit ribosomal RNA", at positions 30 to 507 of the family's 1533-position model. The record is from RNAcentral.